Molecule: ribosomal RNA, 520 nt
Filed under: uncultured Glomeraceae
Lineage: Eukaryota; Fungi; Glomeromycota; Glomeromycetes; Glomerales; Glomeraceae
Description: SSU rRNA
Rfam family: Eukaryotic small subunit ribosomal RNA
Source: RNAcentral
AGCAGCCGCGGUAAUUCCAGCUCCAAUAGCGUAUAUUAAAGUUGCUGCAGUUAAAAAGCUCGUAGUUGAAUUUCGGGACUAAUAUGUCGGUCGUGCCUCGGUACGUACUGGCUUAUUGGUUUCUCCUUUCUGAAGAACUAUGAUGUCAUUUAUUUGGUGUCGUGGGGAAUCAGGACUGUUACUUUGAAAAAAUUAGAGUGUUUAAAGCAGGCUCACGCUUGAAUACAUUAGCAUGGAAUAAUGAAAUAGGACGUUUGAUUCUAUUUUGUUGGUUUCUAGGAUCGACGUAAUGAUUAAUAGGGAUAGUUGGGGGCAUUAGUAUUCAAUUGUCAGAGGUGAAAUUCUUGGAUUUAUUGAAGACUAACUACUGCGAAAGCAUUUGCCAAGGAUGUUUUCAUUAAUCAAGAACGAAAGUUAGGGGAUCGAAGACGAUCAGAUACCGUCGUAGUCUUAACCAUAAACUAUGCCGACUAGGGAUCGGAUGAUGUUAAUUUUUUAAUGACUCAUUCGGCGCCUUACG